RNAcentral lists this ribosomal RNA (407 nucleotides) under uncultured bacterium. Its description in RNAcentral is "partial 16S ribosomal RNA". It matches the Rfam family "Bacterial small subunit ribosomal RNA", at positions 30 to 526 of the family's 1533-position model. The record is from RNAcentral.
AUUGAACGCUGGCGGCAGGCCUAACACAUGCAAGUCGAGCGGAGCGGCGGACGGGUGAGUAAUGCCUAGGAAUCUGCCUGGGCAUGGGGGAGAACGUCCGGAAACGGGCGCUCAUACCGCAUACUAUCAGAUGAGCCUAGGUCGGAUUAGCUAGUUGGUGGGGUAAAGGCCUACCAAGGCGACGAUCCGUAACUGGUCUGAGGGGAUGAUCAGUCACACUGGAACUGAUACACGGUCCAGACUCCUACGGGAGGCAGCAGUGGGGAAUAUUGGACAAUGGGCGAAAGCCUGAUCCAGCCAUGCCGCGUGUGUGAAGAAGGUCUUCGGAUUGUAAAGCACUUUAAGUUGGGAGGCGUUACCAACAGAAUAAGCACCGGCUAACUUCGUGCCAGCAGCCGCGGUAAUUC